Molecule: ribosomal RNA, 403 nt
Filed under: bacterium
Lineage: Bacteria
Description: partial 16S ribosomal RNA
Rfam family: Bacterial small subunit ribosomal RNA
Source: RNAcentral
UGGGGAAUAUUGCACAAUGGGGGAAACCCUGAUGCAGCGACGCCGCGUGAACGAAGAAGGUAUUCGUAUCGUAAAGUUCUGUCCUAUGGGAAGAUAAUGACAGUACCAUAGAAGAAAGCUCCGGCUAAAUACGUGCCAGCAGCCGCGGUAAUACGUAUGGAGCGAGCGUUGUCCGGAAUUAUUGGGCGUAAAGGGUACGCAGGCGGUUUAAUAAGUCGAAUGUUAAAGAUCGGGGCUCAACCCCGCAAAGCAUCGGAAACUGAUAAACUUGAGUAGUGGAGAGGAAAGUGGAAUUCCUAGUGUAGUGGUGAAAUACGUAGAUAUUAGGAGGAAUACCAGUAGCGAAGGCGACUUUCUGGACACAAACUGACGCUGAGGUACGAAAGCGUGGGGAGCAAACAGG